GUAAAUCAAUCUACAACCGAAGUACAUCGACGUACAACAGAAGCAAAACAAGCAAAAACGAAUGAAUCAACAACAAUAGUCAUAGGAUUCUCGCAUGGUAUCAGCUGGUGGGCAGUUUUGCUGUUAUCAUGUCUUAUUUUCACUGUUAUCUUCGCUGUUGUUCUAUUCAGCCGCUAUAUUGGUAAUCCACGCAUUCCUGCGUGGUUCACGCGUCUUUGCAAUGCUGGAAGAUGCUGAAGGAUUAGAUGUAGAUUUAUUACAAAAAACUAUAGUUGAGUUAUAUUAUAGAGCUGCAUUUGACUUGAAAUUUUAUAUUCUGACUCCUCCACAGUCUCUCGCGAUUCUGUACUCAGGAGGAACAUCCAACGCCAGAAAAUAAAAGAAUAUUUAGUAGGUAAUACUAAUAUCAAUGAAUAAAAGUC
Dendronephthya gigantea is the source of this 422-nucleotide long non-coding RNA. RefSeq lists it as uncharacterized. The record is from RefSeq and is a predicted model, not a curated record. NCBI's taxonomy places the organism in Eukaryota, Metazoa, Cnidaria, Anthozoa, Malacalcyonacea, Nephtheidae. The transcript has 3 exons.